This is a long non-coding RNA of Hippopotamus amphibius kiboko, 924 nucleotides long. RefSeq lists it as uncharacterized. Lineage: Eukaryota; Metazoa; Chordata; Mammalia; Artiodactyla; Hippopotamidae. The record is from RefSeq and is a predicted model, not a curated record. The transcript has 3 exons.
GCGCGGCGGGGCGGAGUCUGAAGGCCAGGUGCGCGCCGAGCUCCGCUCCCGGGAUGAGGCGCGAGAGCUGGGCUGCGGCGGGGACCCGGCUCUCGGUCGGGCGGGACGUGGGGCGGAGGCUGACAGCGGGUGGGGGCGGGGCCCGGGCGCUUUCCGCCGUGCAGUCCCGCCCCGCUGGUCCCGAGCUCCCUCCACCGCCUCCACCUUCCACCCCGCGCCGGCUUUCUAUGCGACAGUCGUCGCGUCCCAUUGUCGCUCGGCCCUGGCGGCGCCCGAGCCCGCAAUGUCGGGCCCCAACGGGGACCUGGGCAUGCCGGUGGAGGCGGGAGCGGAAGGCGAGGACGACGGCUUCGGGGCAGCAGGGAGAACCCAAGAGCCCCACCAACCUCUUCACCCCCCACGACUGCCCAGCGCCUGCUCUGCCACUUCUCCUGACCCUACCAGUUACCCCUCUCUAACACCCCAGUGGGUUCUACCCGGAUGUCCCACUGCCCCUACAUCUCACCCAAAAUCUACUGAAGAGUUUAACCAUGAGGAAAACACCCAACAAAUCCCAAUAGAGGGACAGUCUACCCAAUGCCUAUAGCAGUGCUCCUCCCAACGGUCAAGGUCAUCAAAACCAAGGAAAAUCUGAGAAACUGUCAGAGCCAAGAGAAGCCUAAAGAGACAUGACAACUGAAUGUAACCUGGAUCCUGGAACAGGAAAAGAGCAUUAUGUACAAACCAAGGAGGUCUGAAUAAAGCAUGGACUUUAGUUAAAGUAUCAUUGGUGGUUUUUAAUUGUAACAAAUGUAUCAUACUAGUAUAAGAUGUUAAUAAUAUGGGAAACUGGGUGCAGGGUAUAUGGGAACUCUUCACAAUUUUUCUGUAAAUCUAAAACUUUUUAAAUUAAAAGUUUAUUUUUAAAAGCUUGUCAAAUUCUGC